Molecule: long non-coding RNA, 858 nt
Organism: Hibiscus syriacus
Lineage: Eukaryota; Viridiplantae; Streptophyta; Magnoliopsida; Malvales; Malvaceae
Exons: 2
Source: RefSeq, a predicted model, not a curated record
CUCAACCUUAAACACAAUCGUGUUCUCUAUCGCCUAGAGCUCCGAUGAGGAGUCCCCCACAUACGCGAACCCACCUUGUGAAUAAACUUGAACCCCAAACUUAGAAUCUCUCACGAUAGAAACCCAAAAUCUAAAGGUAAAAUAAUAAUAAAAAACCUUACUUUCCAUGGCUUUAGGCUCCCUCAAAUCCAAAUUUACUAUGGUAGGUUGUUUACCUUCGUGAAAGGAGGCGACCUUGCUCAUAUGGAAAAGGUUUUGGAGCUACCGAGGUAUUUUGUUUCAAUUCCCACUGAUGACUCUCGUUUGCUCUGAUUAUCUCUCGAUGAUAUUUUAUUGUUGUUUUUCUGGUUCGUAAUCGCCUCCACCUUGUUUGUGUUUUCCUUUUUGCUUAUAAUUGCUCCCUGAUCCCAGUUUCUGAUGGUUGCUUAUUAUUUUUCUGUUGUUCACAUCCCUUGCAUUCUCGAGAAACAAAAACAAAUUCCUCCUAGGUAUGGGCUCGAGCAUGACGAAUAUGGGCGGCAGCAAUGGCCUAGGUGGGUGGUCGACAAGCAUGGUCUUUCUCAGUGAGUUUGCGCACUGUUUUGGAGUUCCAGAUGGAUCUACGCACGCUGGCUCGGUAUUCUGGGUGAACUGGAACCGUUGGAUCGUGAAGUUGGAUCCAACGGUCCUACUAUUGCGGCACUGGGAGCUGAUGACAGAAAACCCUAACGGGCUACAAUAUUGGGCUUCAACCUCCAAAUCGGGCUGCUCUAUCCUGGGCUGAAUCUUAUAGUCCUUUUGUAAUUAGGACUGUAGUUUGGACCUGUAACAUAAACGUUUAUUUAGUGCAUAUCAUAUAUAUAUAUUUAAUCACUUAGU